This is a long non-coding RNA of Cyprinus carpio carpio, 1893 nucleotides long. The record is from Ensembl. NCBI's taxonomy places the organism in Eukaryota, Metazoa, Chordata, Actinopteri, Cypriniformes, Cyprinidae.
CAGCAAAAAAGUAAUAUUAUUUCAAUUUAAUAUUAUUUCAAUUUAAAAUAACUUUUCUGUUAUGUAAUUUAUUUCUGCUAUACAAAGCUGAAAUUUUAUUACUCCAGUCUUCAGUCACAUGAUCCUUCAGAAAUCAUUCUAAUAUGCUGAUUUGCUGCUUACAAAAUAUUUAUUAUUAUUAAAAGUGCUGAAAACAGUUAUGCUGUUUAAUAUUUUGUGCAUACUGUUGAAAAUUUCUGUCACUUUUAAUCAAUUUAUUGCAUCCUUGCUGAAUAAAAGUUUUAAUUUCUUUCAAAAUUCCUUACUGAUCCCAAACAUUUGAACUGUAGUGUACAAAAAAUAUCCUUCUUAAGGAACUUGCUUCAUUAUCACUGGCUUUAGGAAAUUCACUAAAAUGAGUCAGGCUUUCCAGUGCUUUUUAAGAGAGAGAGAUUCAAGGACAGCAUGUGAUAUUUUGUUAAUUUGCACUGUUGUAAAGCAGUGGCAUCAGUUUUUAAAAAACGUAGCUUGUUACUGCAAAAGCAUUGAAAAUAGUUACUGUCACCCUACUGAAAAAUGUUCAUAGUAUCAUUACUUUUAACUUGUAAUCAAUACUAAAAAAAAAAACUAAAGCUGCAUCCCUAGUAAUAAGUACAGUGUAGUUUUUUAUUGGGUUACUGGUUUUGUUGCCAUUUUGCACAUUACACAGGUCUGCAGUGUCUUUAAAUAAAUCUGAAGUCUUGCAAAUGCGAUGUAGGUAUUAUAAACUGCAAGUAGAGAUUUUUUACUUAGUGUUACUGAAGCCCCUACAUGUAAAGUCAAACAAUAUUGUGUUGUAUUUUAAAAUUUACCUGUAUAUUCCAUCUGUGUCACUUUGAAUCACCAUGAAAAUUUUGAGAAGUGGUUUCCUAUUCAGCAUGACAGCAUGCUGACAUGAAACUUUUUUACUGUAUGAAAUUUGAUUUAGUUGAAAUUAUAUAAUCUAGUCUUAUCAAGCUGUAACAGAGUGAAUUUAAGAUAUUUUUAGAACUAAUACACUGAAGACUAAAGUAAUAUUUUUUUUUACGCCUGUUUGCCGUUGACUGAAAAUGUGGCAUUCAACACUAUGCAAAAAGGGAGUAAAAAUGUAAAUGGCAGGGCCCCUAAAGGACCCCAGCAUUUAGUAUUUUGCACUGGAAAAAGUAGCAAUAGUCUUUGCAUUCAGCUUCUUUCACGGAUGCCUUUAUUCAUGAAUCUGUGUGUGUGUGUGUGUGUGUGUGUGUGUGUGUGUGUGUGUGUGUGUGUGUGUGUGUGUGUGUUUUCCUCUAAAUGCAUCUUUUGUACAUUUGAACAUGCACUGAAAGAGUUUUGCUGAUGUCACACAGCCUUGUUGUAAGAUCUGGAGGAUGUGCAUUUUUAAUGACUGAUUGCCAAAAUGUAGAGGAUGGCUAAAUGUUUAUAUACAGUAUAUGACUUGCUAAUAAGAAAUGAAACAAUAACUUUACAGAAUAAUUUUCUCUUUUUUUUAUCUUUGAAAAUCAAAAAAUUAAAACCAGCCAAUUAUUUGCUAGUGCCAUUAUUUGCUAUUAUUGUCUGAUUAAUCAUCCUCCCAGUAUUUCAGUUUGUCACUAGUUAGGUCAUUGACAUUGGCUAAGGAUUGCUUAUGAAGAUCAAAAAGACAACCGCACCUUUACUGUUAAAUAUAAAGGCUGAUUUUAUUUAUUUAUUUUUUCACAAGGUUACUGAUUUUGAUAAAUUACUGUCAUUUUUGAUCUAAAGGCACUGUCAUCUUGAAAAUGACCAACAAAUGAACACAGUUUGACAACACAAUUUGUAAUUGAAAUAUGAAAAAAGUAAUGAUUGAACUGUUUUGUAAACAAUUUUCUGGCAAACUACUUUCAUUAUUUUAAUAAAAUGGCAUAACUGGGAAAUAAA